Molecule: transfer RNA, 85 nt
Filed under: Photobacterium damselae subsp. piscicida
Lineage: Bacteria; Pseudomonadati; Pseudomonadota; Gammaproteobacteria; Vibrionales; Vibrionaceae
Description: tRNA-Leu
Rfam family: tRNA
About the family: Transfer RNA (tRNA) molecules are approximately 80 nucleotides in length.
Source: RNAcentral
GCCCUGGUGGUGGAAUUGGUAGACACAAGGGAUUUAAAAUCCUCGGCGUUCGCGCUGUGCCGGUUCAAGUCCGGCCCGGGCACCA